This 297-nucleotide ribosomal RNA is filed under the name uncultured bacterium. Its description in RNAcentral is "partial 16S ribosomal RNA". It matches the Rfam family "Bacterial small subunit ribosomal RNA", at positions 29 to 349 of the family's 1533-position model. The record is from RNAcentral.
AGCGAACGCUGGCGGCAGGCUUAACACAUGCAAGUCGAGCGGGCGUAGCAAUACGUCAGCGGCAGACGGGUGAGUAACGCGUGGGAACGUACCUUUUGGUUCGGAACAACACAGGGAAACUUGUGCUAAUACCGGAUAAGCCCUUACGGGGAAAGAUUUUAAUCGCCGAAAGAUCGGCCCGCGUCUGAUUAGCUUGUUGGUGAGGUAACGGCUCACCAAGGCGACGAUCAGUAGCUGGUCUGAGAGGAUGAUCAGCCACAUUGGGACUGAGACACGGCCCAAACUCCUACGGGAGGC